This 74-nucleotide transfer RNA is filed under the name Cladosporium sphaerospermum UM 843. RNAcentral describes it as "tRNA-Lys (TTT) (tRNA-Lys-TTT-1-1, tRNA-Lys-TTT-1-2)". It matches the Rfam family "tRNA". Rfam says of the family: Transfer RNA (tRNA) molecules are approximately 80 nucleotides in length. Lineage: Eukaryota; Fungi; Ascomycota; Dothideomycetes; Cladosporiales; Cladosporiaceae. The record is from RNAcentral.
UCCCGCGUGGCACAAUUGGCUAGCGCGUGAGACUUUUAAUCUCAAGGUUGAGAGUUCGAGCCUCUCCGUGGGAG